UAGUGGCGAACGGGUGAGUAACACGUGGGCAAUCUGCCCUGCACUCUGGGACAAGCCCUGGAAACGGGGUCUAAUACCGGAUAAUACUGUGCCCCUCAUGGGGGACGGUUNAAAGCUCCGGCGGUGCAGGAUGAGCCCGCGGCCUAUCAGCUUGUUGGUGGGGUAAUGGCCUACCAAGGCGACGACGGGUAGCCGGCCUGAGAGGGCGACCGGCCACACUGGGACUGAGACACGGCCCAGACUCCUACGGGAGGCAGCAGUGGGGAAUAUUGCACAAUGGGCGAAAGCCUGAUGCAGCGACGCCGCGUGAGGGAUGACGGCCUUCGGGUUGUAAACCUCUUUCAGCAGGGAAGAAGCGAAAGUGACGGUACCUGCAGAAGAAGCGCCGGCUAACUACGUGCCAGCAGCCGCGGUAAUACGUAGGGCGCAAGCGUUGUCCGGAAUUAUUGGGCGUAAAGAGCUCGUAGGCGGUUUGUCACGUCGGGUGUGAAAGCC
RNAcentral lists this ribosomal RNA (495 nucleotides) under Streptomyces sp. 313F12. RNAcentral's name for it is "bacterial SSU rRNA". It matches the Rfam family "Bacterial small subunit ribosomal RNA", at positions 93 to 602 of the family's 1533-position model. The record is from RNAcentral. Lineage: Bacteria; Bacillati; Actinomycetota; Actinomycetes; Kitasatosporales; Streptomycetaceae.